Molecule: small nuclear RNA, 157 nt
Organism: Echinops telfairi (small Madagascar hedgehog)
Lineage: Eukaryota; Metazoa; Chordata; Mammalia; Afrosoricida; Tenrecidae
Gene: U1
Rfam family: U1 spliceosomal RNA
About the family: U1 is a small nuclear RNA (snRNA) component of the spliceosome (involved in pre-mRNA splicing).
Source: Ensembl
AUACUUACCUGGCAGGAGAGACACCAUGAUCAGGAAGGUGGUUUUCCCAAGAUGAGGCUUAUCCAUUGCACUGUGGGUGUGCUGCAAUUUCCCUGAAUGUGGGAAACUUGACUGCAUAAUUUGUGGUCAUGGGGGACUGCAUUUGGGCUCUCCCCCC